RNAcentral lists this unclassified non-coding RNA (305 nucleotides) under plant metagenome. Its description in RNAcentral is "partial contains 5.8S ribosomal RNA, internal transcribed spacer 2, and large subunit ribosomal RNA". The stretch from base 1 to 105 matches the Rfam family "5.8S ribosomal RNA", at positions 50 to 154 of the family's 154-position model. The record is from RNAcentral.
GAAAUGCGAUAAGUAGUGUAAAUUAUAAAAUUUAGUAAAUUAUUAAAUCUUUAAACGCACAUUGCGCCCCUUAGUAUUCUAUAGGGUAUGCCUGUUUGAGCGUUAUCUACACCCUUAAGCUCUACUUAGUGUUGGGUGUCUGUCCCGCCUUCGCGCGUAGACUUGCCCAAAUAUAUUAGUAGUGGUCUUUAUUUUCUCCUGCGUAGUAUAUUGCGCUUUUUGAGGCUGUGGCGGCCUGCGUCUAAUAAGCUAAACCCCCCCGUCUUUGACCUCGGAUCAGGUAGGGAUACCCGCUGAACUUAAGC